Molecule: transfer RNA, 81 nt
Filed under: Agromyces ramosus
Lineage: Bacteria; Bacillati; Actinomycetota; Actinomycetes; Micrococcales; Microbacteriaceae
Also listed under: 1 other name
Description: tRNA-Leu
Rfam family: tRNA
About the family: Transfer RNA (tRNA) molecules are approximately 80 nucleotides in length. Their secondary structure includes four short double-helical elements and three loops (D, anti-codon, and T loops). Further hydrogen bonds mediate the characteristic L-shaped molecular structure. tRNAs have two regions of fundamental functional importance: the anti-codon, which is responsible for specific mRNA codon recognition, and the 3' end, to which the tRNAs corresponding amino acid is attached (by aminoacyl-tRNA synthetases). tRNAs cope with the degeneracy of the genetic code in two manners: having more than one tRNA (with a specific anti-codon) for a particular amino acid; and 'wobble' base-pairing, i.e. permitting non-standard base-pairing at the 3rd anti-codon position.
Source: RNAcentral
GCGGGAGUGGUGAAAUGGUAGACACGCAGGAUUUAGGUUCCUGUGCCUUCGGGCGUGUGGGUUCGAGUCCCACCUUCCGCA